Capsicum annuum is the source of this 46-nucleotide non-coding RNA. The record is from Rfam. Lineage: Eukaryota; Viridiplantae; Streptophyta; Magnoliopsida; Solanales; Solanaceae.
UGCAAGGAUCUAUUAAGAUCUACCAAACAUAGCUUAAAAAAAUCUC